RNAcentral lists this long non-coding RNA (878 nucleotides) under Heterocephalus glaber (naked mole-rat). RNAcentral's name for it is "lncRNA (ENSHGLG00100040893.1)". Lineage: Eukaryota; Metazoa; Chordata; Mammalia; Rodentia; Bathyergidae. The record is from RNAcentral.
GGAGAUAGAUCUUUCUCAAUAGGAAGGGAACUGAGAGAUAGAGGGUCUCUCCAGGUAUCUCAGGCUGUCCUCGAACUCAUGGCGAUCCUCCUGCCUCAGCCUCUGGAAUGCUGGGAUUACAGGUGUGCCCCUCCACACCCAGCGCAAUUUUGAUCUUUAACAGACUGUUCUGGUCACUGACAAGGGCCUGAGCCAGGAGUCGAGCAGGCAGGGUGUGGUGAGGUGGAGAGAAUCGGUGGAUGGUGACUUGCUGGGAGACAGGGCCGACAGGACUGGCUGAGGGCUGAGCCAUGGACCCUGGGGGACAGCAGAGUUGGGGACACCUGACAGAGGAACUGGAGGGGAUUCAGCGGAGGACGCCAAGCGCUGGGGUCGGGACUCUCUUCGCUUCAUCUCACGACAGCGCAGGGCAGACCCGGGUGGAACACCGGACGAGGGACUGUAUCCUGGGGACAGAGCCACGGGAGAGGCCGAAGAGAAGACCCGAGCUUCCUGGUUGCCACGGAUUGAGCAUCUUUCCUCUGCCAUUUCCUCCUACCACGCCACGCCUGCCUUAGAAACAGCCACCUAUGGACUGAAUCCAUAAAAUGUGAACCAGAACAGACCUCUCCUUCUUGUUUGUUUUUGGUACCGGAGAUCGAACUCAGGACGUCACGCUUAGGAGGCAGGUGGUGGAAGCACUGAGCUAAAUCCCCAGCCCCAACCUCUCCUUCUUUAGGUCAUAGGUGUCAGGUAUUCUGUUCCAGCUACAUGAAGAUGAUUAACACAGAGUUGCCACUAAUUUCUUUGCCCCAGGAAGCCACACUGUCUUGGAUUCACUGUCUUGGUAAUAGAGGAGUUUCAUUUCCAAGUAUAGUAAGUCCCCAACCUUCGAAUAU